UACGGAGGGUGCAAGCGUUAAUCGGAAUUACUGGGCGUAAAGCGCGUGUAGGCGGUCUUGUAAGUCGGAUGUGAAAGCCCCGGGCUCAACCUGGGAACUGCAUUCGAUACUGCUCGACUAGAGUAUGGAAGAGGGAAGCGGAAUUCCGGGUGUAGCGGUGAAGUGCGUAGAUAUCCGGAGGAACACCAGUGGCGAAGGCGGCUUCCUGGUCCAAUACUGACGCUGAGACGCGAAAGCGUGGGGAGCAAAC
RNAcentral lists this ribosomal RNA (250 nucleotides) under uncultured bacterium. RNAcentral describes it as "partial 16S ribosomal RNA". It matches the Rfam family "Bacterial small subunit ribosomal RNA", at positions 524 to 773 of the family's 1533-position model. The record is from RNAcentral.